RNA transcript from Gossypium raimondii (Peruvian cotton), 1028 nucleotides. It is a transcript of the gene named ethylene-response factor C3, with no coding region annotated. The transcript has a single exon. The record is from RefSeq and is a predicted model, not a curated record. NCBI's taxonomy places the organism in Eukaryota, Viridiplantae, Streptophyta, Magnoliopsida, Malvales, Malvaceae.
GAUUUAAUGCUUCUUAAUAAGUUUUUUGUUCGCAUCUGCUAAAUUCUGGUAUAAAAGGAGGAUCAGGUACUUCAGAUGUACAAAACCUAGUUUGUGCGUCGUCAACGAGAGAGGGCACAGAUAGAAAAAGAAAAAAAAAAAUCACCCAGAUAUGGAGGAGUCUUGGUUGUUUCAAUACUCAAAUAAUCCAGAAUUAUCAAGGUUUGGAUCGGCGGAGCAGUUUUCCAGUGGCUGUGAGUGGGAUGAGCUUCUUCUCAACUUCAAUAACCCUGAUGAAACGGUUUGGUCGGAUUUGUUGGGUGAUGAAGAAGAAAGGCGUAAAGCAUCCUCAGAGUCUAAUAACACCUCCAUCGAUGGCGGCGUAAAGGAGGAAGAGGUUUGCUCGGAGGAACCCAAGAAAGUGAAGAGUUAUAGAGGGGUGAGAAAAAGGCCAUGGGGUAAAUUUGCAGCUGAGAUUAGGGAUUCAACCAGAAAUGGUGCCAGGGUUUGGCUUGGAACAUUCGACAGUGCCGAAGCAGCUGCUUUAGCAUACGACCAAGCCGCAUUCUCAAUGAGAGGUCCAUUGGCUACUCUCAAUUUCCCCAUCGAAACCGUCAAGGAAUCCCUUCAGGAACUCAAGCAUCGAUGCGAUGAAGACAAGGGUUGCUCGCCUUUGGUGGCUCUCAAGAAUCGCUACUCCUUGAGGAAAAGAUCCAAGAACAAGAAAAUCAAGCCGAACGCCGCUGCAUUAAGGCAACAACAAAACUUGCUGGUUUUUGAGGAUUUAGGACCUGAUUUCUUGGAACAAUUGUUAAGCUCAUGUGAGUGAAACUACAGCUCCUUGGUAAAUGAUUUUUGCCAUGAUGAAACCAAUCUCAUGCCAUAUCCUUGUUCUUUUCUUAAUUUCAUUCAAUCUUUGUAACUUCUCUUUGCUGGGGUGUCUGAUUUAAGGCCUCUUGCAUCUUGUUCCAUACUUCACCAUCUUCAUCUGAUGUUGGUCUUACAAGUUGAAAAAUAAUGGAAAUUAAUCUACAAUAAUUUCACCUUCC